AGCAACCAAGAAGCUUCUAUAAGAAGAGGCCGUGUCUGGCCCCUGCCCUGUACCCAACACAACUGGUUUUAAAUGGUGUAAACCAGUUACAGAUGGUUCUACCACAGCCAAAUCCCAGGAGCGAAGCUGGUAGGAAAAUGCAUUUAAGAAAGGGCAGGAAAUACCAACAGAUAUAGGGGGAAAGAAAAGAGUGAAAAGUAACAGAGUGAGCAGCAAAGUCAGAGAAGGAGGAAAAAGUGUGUUGUGGUUGAGCAGAAUUUUUGCAGCCUAUGGAGGACCCCAUACCAGAGCAGAUGGCAAUUUCCUGAAAGAGCUAUAGUCUGCAAAGAAUCCAUAUUAGAGCAGAUUUUCUUCUGAAAGACUGCGACCUGGGGAGAACCCACACUGGAGCAACAGAAAAGUAUGAGAGGAAAGGAGCAGCAGAGAGGUGUUGUGGACUGAUCAUUCUCCCUUGGCUAUCUGGAGGUGGGAAGAGUCUGGAGUGAAGCUGAGCAUAGGAAAAAGGAGUUGAAGAGGAAAAACUCUUGACAAGUACUGAUCUUAUAGGAUGAAAUAGUAUGACGCUUUGCAGUAAUAAAUGCUGAGAUCAUGUCCAUGUUUGAUUCAGUAAUGGUUGUCAGGUGCAGGCUGUAAUUGCACUACUGCUCACAGGCAAGAGUUCUGAAGCCAGAUGACAAAAAGGGUUUGUGAAUGUUGGACAUGAAAUUUCACUCAAUGCAUAAGAUCCCUUUUCAAAGUUGAUAGUCCACUGAGUUGGUAAUUUAAUACUAUUUAUUUAUUAUUAGCAAAAUUGCCGAUCUUACAAACAGUUCUCAGAUUUACUGAAUAUUAUAUUCAGAGCUUUAGCUAAAUCUUUUGUUUUCUUGUUUCAUUACCUGACAUUUAUCUCUGAUCACUCCAGAUGAGUUUUCAGAUCAUUAUCCAUGACAGUGGCAUUUCUGUGAUGACCUUAAUGAAAAUGUACUCUAUUAUCUAGGGUGACUAAAGUGGUUGUUUACUUUUGUAUUUAAAAUCUUCCUAUAGUUACUCUAUAUAGGAAUCUUAGUUUUCUGCUGGCAUCAGAUCAAAACUCUCAAAGCUGUGUAUUUGUUAUGUUACUAUUCUCAUGACCAGAAUCAGGAGAAAAUGAUCACUUACCAAGCAUGACAAUUACUGAAACUGUUUGGUUUUAGACAGUUUAUCAAACCUUUGUUUUACAGCAUCUGGAAAAAAUAUUGUUAGUAAGCCUGAAGAAUAUUCACAUGGACAAAUAUUUGUCCUAGGUAUAGGAUAUGGAAGUUGUGUGAAGUUAAAAUAUUUAUAUUCUAUGCCAUCCAUUUUCUCGAAUUGUGUUGCUGUGUGACUGAUUCUAUACUUCCCUUAUUUUUCUACUCUUUAUUAUUUUAAUCUAUUAAUCUGAAUAAAAUAAAGUGAAAUAAAUAUUA
Anas platyrhynchos (mallard) is the source of this 1424-nucleotide long non-coding RNA. RefSeq lists it as uncharacterized. Lineage: Eukaryota; Metazoa; Chordata; Aves; Anseriformes; Anatidae. The record is from RefSeq and is a predicted model, not a curated record.